Molecule: non-coding RNA, 621 nt
Organism: Pimephales promelas (fathead minnow)
Lineage: Eukaryota; Metazoa; Chordata; Actinopteri; Cypriniformes; Leuciscidae
Source: the annotation of a RefSeq genome assembly
UUACUUAGGGGGAGGAGCUUCAAGCUGCUUUAAAGAGCUCAAGUGCCAUCACAGACUUGUCAUUUCAGCAUAAUGCUGCUCAUCACAAUUAUCCUGCUCUGUGCUGUUGGGAAUGGAAGUUUUGAGAGUCUCAUUACAUCAGAUGAAACUGAGGUCUUUCAUGAGGAGGGUGACAGUGUCACUUUGUCCUGUAGCUACUCAUCAGCAAUUAGUUUGCAUUGGUACCACCAGUAUCCCAAAUCAGCUCCUGAAUAUAUUUUAUCAAUUCUGCAAUCCUCUGGACGGGUCCAGAGUGCAGAGAAUCUGGAUUCUCGGUUUUCUGUGAGACUAAAUGGAAAGAAAAACCGUGUGGAUCUGAUCAUCUCCUCUGCUAAAGUGUCAGACUCUGCUCUGUAUUACUGCGCCCUGGAGCCCACAGGGACAGGAAACACUAGAACACGAUUGCAGAGGACAACAUACUGUACGUCAGCCAACAACGAUAACUUCAGCUUACAUGGGAGAGACUGUAACCCUGAAGUGUGAAUAUAAUACAACAGACACGAUGCCUGCUCUGCUGUGGUACAGGCAAACCAAGCAUUUACCUCCAGAAUUUAUAUUAGUAAGACACAAUCUUGGAAAUGG